GUUCUAACAUAAUCUCCCAAAGUUCCCCCAAAGGGAUUCCGUUCCAGUUGCCCGCAGUGAUAAUUUGCUGGGUAAUGCAGCUUCUAUCAGCUUCCUCUCCUCCCAUGUCUCAUACUCACACUUCUUCACUGGGCUUUCUUGGAAUCACCUCCCAGAUUAGCUUAUAACAAUCGAAGCUUUGUCUCUGCCUACUUCUGAGGGGACCCAGAAAUAUAUUUCCCUAGGAACGUAGACCACAGUCACAUGAAUCAUAUUUGAUGGUCUAUUUCUUUAUGGCACGUGAGUUCUUACUUCGGGAAGAAUUAGAGCAAAGAGUGACGAGAACCAGCAGGAAGACAGAACAAAAAGCUAACAGAAUCAUAGAAGUGUUCAAACAACCAGCUAAAUUCAUUGCACAUAUUUCUCAACCACAGAAAUAUUUCAGGUGACUCUGUUUUUGACAAAACGUGGGAACCACAGGAUCUACAACACUUACAAGCAAAACUCAACAAGUCUAAUAAUAGUUACAGAAGUGAAAGCCAAUUUGGAUAAAAUAAGACAUUGACUCAAGUCCUCUGAGAGAAGAUUUUUGAAAACAAAGUUUACAAAAAUCUCAUUUUGCCUUUUGGGAAAUCACAGACCUUUUUGCACCUUGACUCUUUCUCUGGGUUUCUUUAUUACUGGGAGAAUUUUCUGCAGCAUUUCUUCUCCAUCUGACAUCAUGGAAUGUGAUACUUUCUUUUUUUCUUUUUUUAUCAUACAGUGAUUAAAAGGCUAUUGCAUGAUCUGUC
Equus asinus (donkey) is the source of this 770-nucleotide long non-coding RNA. Lineage: Eukaryota; Metazoa; Chordata; Mammalia; Perissodactyla; Equidae. The record is from Ensembl.